CAGACUGUUAAUAACGUCUUUACUCUUAAUCCAUUGGAAGUAAGAUGUGUUUUAAUAGAUACUUUAUUCUAAGAUACAUGUUUUGUUUUAGUCUUAUUGGCAUUUGACUAGCUAUCAGUAACUGCAGUUUAUUCUAUGGAUAAAUUUCUGCAGUAAAUUGAGAGUUCUGAUGCUGUUAAAUUAAUACCGUUGGUGUUCUUUACCAUCUCAUCAUAGUCCCAAAAUGUAAAUCUGAAAUCUUGUUCAUAUAAAAAAAAAGUUGAGAAGACAUUAUUUAUGUGGACGGUCUGACAUAAUGGGUAUUGCAUGUACCUGUAUGAUAAUCAGAUUUUGAUAUUUUGUUGCAAUUUGAAAUAUGGAAAUUAUACGCACGGUUUGUUAUGUCUCAU
Molecule: long non-coding RNA, 389 nt
Filed under: Mytilus galloprovincialis (Mediterranean mussel)
Lineage: Eukaryota; Metazoa; Mollusca; Bivalvia; Mytilida; Mytilidae
Source: RNAcentral